GUUGCUGUGGUUCAGUGGAUAGGGCUUUGUGUUAAAAUCCAGAAGAUUGUAGGUUCAAAUCCUGGCAUUACCA
Ameiurus melas (black bullhead) is the source of this 73-nucleotide non-coding RNA. The record is from the annotation of a GenBank genome assembly. Lineage: Eukaryota; Metazoa; Chordata; Actinopteri; Siluriformes; Ictaluridae.